RNAcentral lists this ribosomal RNA (699 nucleotides) under uncultured Roseobacter sp. RNAcentral describes it as "bacterial SSU rRNA". It matches the Rfam family "Bacterial small subunit ribosomal RNA", at positions 137 to 871 of the family's 1533-position model. The record is from RNAcentral. Lineage: Bacteria; Pseudomonadati; Pseudomonadota; Alphaproteobacteria; Rhodobacterales; Roseobacteraceae.
UACGGAAUAGCCACUGGAAACGGUGAGUAAUACCGUAUACGCCCUUCGGGGGAAAGAUUUAUCGGAUUUGGAUCGGCCCGCGUUAGAUUAGGUAGUUGGUGGGGUAACGGCCUACCAAGCCUACGAUCUAUAGCUGGUUUUAGAGGAUGAUCAGCAACACUGGGACUGAGACACGGCCCAGACUCCUACGGGAGGCAGCAGUGGGGAAUCUUGGACAAUGGGGGCAACCCUGAUCCAGCCAUGCCGCGUGAGCGAAGAAGGCCCUAGGGUCGUAAAACUCUUUCGCCUGUGAUGAUAAUGACAGUAGCAGGUGAAGAAACCCCGGCUAACUCCGUGCCAGCAGCCGCGGUAAUACGGAGGGGGUUAGCGUUGUUCGGAAUUACUGGGCGUAAAGCGCACGUAGGCGGAUUAGAAAGUUAGAGGUGAAAUCCCGGGGCUCAACCCCGGAACUGCCUUUAAAACUACUAGUCUAGAGUUCGAGAGAGGUGAGUGGAAUUCCGAGUGUAGAGGUGAAAUUCGUAGAUAUUCGGAGGAACACCAGUGGCGAAGGCGGCUCACUGGCUCGAUACUGACGCUGAGGUGCGAAAGUGUGGGGAGCAAACAGGAUUAGAUACCCUGGUAGUCCACACCGUAAACGAUGAAUGCCAGUCGUCGGGUAGUAUACUAUUCGGUGACACACCUAACGGAUUAAGCAUUCCG